AAUAAUAAUAAUAAUAAUAAAUCCAUUAACAGUAAUCACAAAAACUUCCAUCAUGGCUUCUUUGAUGCAAAUCUAAUAAGCUUCAUAUUCAUACAAAGUAACAGAACAGAGAAGAGAGCACCAGACAGAACACCACCUAAAUAUCCCAGUUACUGCAAUAAUUGCCAAACUAUUAGCUGGAACAUUAGCACACCUGUUGAUUAAUUUAUUGCCUGCAUGUUGCAGCCAACUGAAAGGCAAGUCUAUUCAUGCUUUUCCAAUCAGAGCGGGAAUUUUACAAGAAACUCAUCUCCUUACGUCUCUGAUAUCCAUGUAUGCUUUAUUGUCGAAUGUAAAUUUCUCUCUUUUACUAUUUGAAAUGAAUAAAAAGAGAGAUAUCUUUGUGGAAUGCCAUUUUUUUUUGUGCAUAUCCAAACAAAGUAUACUAAAAAAGCAAUUGCUUUCUUCUGUGAUCUACUUCUAAUGAGCUUGCAAACUACAUCACAGUACUAAGUUUCAUUUCAGCACAUGCUCAUCCUGAAACUUGCUCAUUUUGUAGUGGCAUAUGUAAUACGCUAAGGAUUUGACGAAGGUAUCAUUAAUUCUAUUCUUAUUAAUCAGCAGUUGCUCCCUUCCACUGAAUUUAGCUUUGUCCCGCAUGAGGCAAAUUUCAUUACGCAUGGUUUAGCAAAGCAAGGGAUUUCUAGGUUGACAGAUUUGGUUGCAUUUUUUGUAUUGUUUUAUGUCGUUAGUGUCCAUAUUACUUCUCAAUUUUGUAUUGUUAGCAGAGAAAUACUGGCGACAGUCGCCUAAAAAAUUAACUGUCCAACAAAAUUCUUCUCAUUGAUGAAAAAGUAUUUAUUAAAUUUUUAGAUAAAUUUUUACCUAUUAUCGAGAUAAUAAAAAAAUUAUUAUUUUUUUAUCAUCUAAUUAAUUACUUUUUUUGACCUCUAAUUUAUUCAAAUUUUUUUUUUUAAUUUGACCUUUCAAAUUUUAAUUUAAAUUAAAUUAAUUCUAAAGAAUAUUUUUUGAUAGCAAAAUAAUGAAACUCAAAAUGCAAAAACAUGAUUAGUAGAAAAUAAGUGUUACAGUUAA
RNAcentral lists this unclassified non-coding RNA (1074 nucleotides) under Hevea brasiliensis (rubber tree). The record is from RNAcentral. Lineage: Eukaryota; Viridiplantae; Streptophyta; Magnoliopsida; Malpighiales; Euphorbiaceae.